ACGGAAGGCAGCAGUGGGGAAUAUUGGACAAUGGGGGAAACCCUGAUCCAGCGACGCCGCGUGGGUGAAGAAGUUUUUCGGAAUGUAAAGCCCUAUCAGCAGGGAAGAUAAUGACGGUACCUGACUAAGAAGCACCGGCUAAAUACGUGCCAGCAGCCGCGGUAAUACGUAUGGUGCAAGCGUUAACCGGAUUUACUGGGUGUAAAGGGAGCGCAGACGGCAUGGCAAGCCAGAUGUGAAAGGUGGGGGCUCAACCCCCAAGCUGCAUUUGGAACUGUCAAGCUAGAGUAUCGGAGAGGUAAGUGGAAUUCCUAGUGUAGCGGUGAAAUGCGUAGAUAUUAGGAGGAACACCAGUGGCGAAGGCGGCUUACUGGACGAUAACUGACGUUGAGGCUCGAAAGCGUGGGGAGCAAACAGGAUUAGAUACCCUGGUA
RNAcentral lists this ribosomal RNA (434 nucleotides) under uncultured Lachnospiraceae bacterium. Its description in RNAcentral is "partial 16S ribosomal RNA". It matches the Rfam family "Bacterial small subunit ribosomal RNA", at positions 341 to 792 of the family's 1533-position model. Lineage: Bacteria; Bacillati; Bacillota; Clostridia; Lachnospirales; Lachnospiraceae. The record is from RNAcentral.